This 219-nucleotide small RNA is filed under the name Marmota monax (woodchuck). The record is from RNAcentral. Lineage: Eukaryota; Metazoa; Chordata; Mammalia; Rodentia; Sciuridae.
ACCAGGUAUGAUAGCACAUGCCUGUAAUCCCAACUACUCUGGAGGUUGAGAUAGGAGGAUGGCAAGUUUGAGAGACCCCGCUGCAAAAUAAAAUUUUAGCUAGUGCUGUGCCCUUUAAUCCCAGUGACUCAGGAGGCUGAGGCAAGAGGAUUGCCAAGUUCAAAGCCAGCCUCAGCAAUUUAUCAAGGUCCUAAGCAACUUAGCGAGACCCUGUCUCUA